GACGAACGCUGGCGGCGUGCUUAACACAUGCAAGUCGAGCGGAAAGGCCUGCUUUCCCUUGUGGAUUGCGGGUACUCGAGUGGCGAACGGGUGAGUAACACGUGAGUGAUCUGCCCCCAACUUGGGUAUAAGCCUGGGAAACUGGGUCUAAUUCCCGAUAGGACUGCAGGGUGGUGCCUGUGGUGGAAAACGAUUUUCUAGUGGUUGGGGAUGAGCUCGCGGCCUAUCAGCUUGUUGGUGGGGUAAUGGCCUACCAAGGCGGCGACGGGUAGCCGGCCUGAGAGGGUGGACGGCCACAUUGGGACUGAGAUACGGCCCAGACUCCUACGGGAGGCAGCAGUGGGGAAUAUUGCACAAUGGGCGGAAGCCUGAUGCAGCGACGCCGCGUGGGGGAUGACUGCCUUCGGGUUGUAAACUCCUUUCGACCGCGAGGAAGCCACCUGGUUGGAAGGGUGGUGACGGUAGUGGUAGAAGAAGCACCGGCUAACUACGUG
Molecule: ribosomal RNA, 494 nt
Filed under: uncultured bacterium
Lineage: Bacteria
Description: partial 16S ribosomal RNA
Rfam family: Bacterial small subunit ribosomal RNA
Source: RNAcentral